GAGUUUGAUCGUGGCUCAGAUUGAACGCUGGCGGCAGGCCUAACACAUGCAAGUCGAGCGGUAGAGAGAAGCUUGCUUCUCUUGAGAGCGGCGGACGGGUGAGUAAUGCCUAGGAAUCUGCCUGGUAGUGGGGGAUAACGCUCGGAAACGGACGCUAAUACCGCAUACGUCCUACGGGAGAAAGCAGGGGACCUUCGGGCCUUGGCGCUAUCAGAUGAGCCUAGGUCGGAUUAGCUAGUUGGUGAGGUAAUGGCUCACCAAGGCGACGAUCCGUAACUGGUCUGAGAGGAUGAUCAGUCACACUGGAACUGAGACACGGUCCAGACUCCUACGGGAGGCAGCAGUGGGGAAUAUUGGACAAUGGGCGAAAGCCUGAUCCAGCCAUGCCGCGUGUGUGAAGAAGGUCUUCGGAUUGUAAAGCACUUUAAGUUGGGAGAAGGGCAGUAAAUUAAUACUUUGCUGUUUUGACGUUACGACAGAAUAAGCACCGGCUAACUCUGUGCCAGCCGCCG
RNAcentral lists this ribosomal RNA (512 nucleotides) under uncultured bacterium. RNAcentral's name for it is "bacterial SSU rRNA". It matches the Rfam family "Bacterial small subunit ribosomal RNA", at positions 9 to 517 of the family's 1533-position model. The record is from RNAcentral.